GAUGAACGCUGGCGGCGUGCCUAAUACAUGCCAGUCGAGCGAACAGACGAGGAGCUUGCUCCUCUGACGUUAGCGGCGGACGGGUGAGUAACACGUGGAUAACCUCCCUAUAAGACUGGGAUAACUUCGGGAAACCGGAGCUAAUACCGGAUAAUAUAUUGAACCGCAUGGUUCAAUAGUGAAAGACGGUUUUGCUGUCACUUAUAGAUGGAUCCGCGCCGCAUUAGCUAGUUGGUAAGGUAACGGCUUACCAAGGCAACGAUGCGUAGCCGACCUGAGAGGGUGAUCGGCCACACUGGAACUGAGACACGGUCCAGACUCCUACGGGAGGCAGCAGUAGGGAAUCUUCCGCAAUGGGCGAAAGCCUGACGGAGCAACGCCGCGUGAGUGAUGAAGGUCUUCGGAUCGUAAAACUCUGUUAUUAGGGAAGAACAAAUGUGUAAGUAACUAUGCACGUCUUGACGGUACCUAAUCAGAAAGCCACGGCUAACUACGUG
This 497-nucleotide ribosomal RNA is filed under the name uncultured bacterium. Its description in RNAcentral is "partial 16S ribosomal RNA". It matches the Rfam family "Bacterial small subunit ribosomal RNA", at positions 28 to 507 of the family's 1533-position model. The record is from RNAcentral.